This 492-nucleotide ribosomal RNA is filed under the name uncultured bacterium. Its description in RNAcentral is "partial 16S ribosomal RNA". It matches the Rfam family "Bacterial small subunit ribosomal RNA", at positions 29 to 507 of the family's 1533-position model. The record is from RNAcentral.
AGUGAACGCUGGCGGUAGGCCUAACACAUGCAAGUCGAACGGCAGCACAGUAAGAGCUUGCUCUUACGGGUGGUGAGUGGCGGACGGGUGAGGAAUACAUCGGAAUCUACUUUUUCGUGGGGGAUAACGUAGGGAAACUUACGCUAAUACCGCAUACGACCUACGGGUGAAAGCAGGGGAUCUUCGGACCUUGCGCGAUUGAAUGAGCCGAUGUCGGAUUAGCUAGUUGGCGGGGUAAAGGCCCACCAAGGCGACGAUCCGUAGCUGGUCUGAGAGGAUGAUCGGCCACACUGGAACUGAGACACGGUCCAGACUCCUACGGGAGGCAGCAGUGGGGAAUAUUGGACAAUGGGCGCAAGCCUGAUCCAGCCAUACCGCGUGGGUGAAGAAGGCCUUCGGGUUGUAAAGCCCUUUUGUUGGGAAAGAAAAGCAGCAGGUUAAUACCCCGCUGUUCUGACGGUACCCAAAGAAUAAGCACCGGCUAACUUCGUG